RNAcentral lists this non-coding RNA (46 nucleotides) under Schistosoma curassoni. Lineage: Eukaryota; Metazoa; Platyhelminthes; Trematoda; Strigeidida; Schistosomatidae. The record is from RNAcentral.
GCAUUACUGAGGAGUCCCAAAAUAGGACGAAACAGCCGUUCAGUGC